This 1939-nucleotide long non-coding RNA is filed under the name Helianthus annuus (common sunflower). Lineage: Eukaryota; Viridiplantae; Streptophyta; Magnoliopsida; Asterales; Asteraceae. The record is from RNAcentral.
ACCAAACAAAAGACUAACAAAACCACCACGCCAGUCCAAUGCCCCAACCACCGCACCUCCUCCCGUAUUCGCCGAUGGCUACCUCUGCCGGUGCUAAAACCCUAACUUCCUCCUCUACUUCUGCCGCUCUAUAUAACUUACAUCCACCGGGUUUCCUUCGAAGCUGAUUGAAGAGUUUGCCACUGUUGCUCUCUCGAUCAACUCCGCCACUGCGUUCAAGGACAAAUAGUCCGAUCAGUAUUCGGUCUUUGAAAAGUUAUGUAGGGUAAUAUUGUGUUUUGGUGUCACCAUGGAUAACAACCGUCGGUGCAGGGACGUCGGACCGUGACUUCCCGGCGUACGUUAGUCUCGGCAAGGGGAGAGACUAUUCUGGUGUCUCGUUGUAUAAGGGACCCACACUGCCUGAUAAGAUGCUGCCAUUUGUUUAUGCUGGUAAUGCUAGUAAUUCCACUAGUGGUGUUCUGUGUAUGCCUGGAAGUUCCACACGGUUAAGUGGUUAUAUGAUCCUUUUGAAGUUUGUCAUAAUCUUGCGGCGUACAGGUUGAUCUAGUUCUGUUUUUGUUUCUUGACCAAAAGUUAUGUGGGUGUAACUCAACAAUUAGAUAGCCCAAACUGUUAGUAAUUUACAAUAGAUGGGGUCGGCUCGACUCACUUUUUGUUUAGUAGUUUUAGUUUUUUUAUUAAUAGUUAACGUGCCAAGUAUGAUCACCAAAGUUAUGUAAAAAAAACUGACCUGACCCGACCCGAACCAAAACAACCCUUUUUUAUAGUUGACCCGUUUUGACCCAUGACCCGACCCGAUCCGACCCGUUUGCCAGGUCUACUUAAAACUCAUAUUUAACCCUUUGACUUGUGAUUGUUACUAUUUAGGAAACGAAUGUCGAUUCAGAACUUAAACACUUUCAUGAAUUAGUAGCUCGUUUGAACAGUCGCAUCGUUGGAACUAAGGCGAUAGUCUCGGAGCUCUAGUACGUAGUCCCUUCGUUCUGAUUACAUCAAGACGUUUGCUCUUGAUGAGGCUGAUGAAAUGCUUUCAAUGGGGUUCAAGGAUCAGGAGGCUAGUUACUGGGCUGAAGACUAUUACAUGCUGUUGUUGGGCUUUGUGGAUCUGGUCAAGUUCUCAAGCUAGGGUUCCAGUAUAAAAGAGUAAAAGACUAUCAGCUGUAGAGAUCCUUUUUUCCAAAAAUUCCAGAUCGUUCAACUCUCGUUUUGGGGUUUCAUAUCAUAUUAAGAUGAAUUGUUCUCAUUAGUUUAAACCAGAGAUCAUAAUCUUUAUUGAUUCUCUUUUAAGUUUUGUAUUUCAGAAGAGUUUUGUCUUUUUGAACGAUUGAUCAUCAUCAUCUAGACUUCACGCCACAUGAGAGGUUUUAUGUUGUCGGAAGAUAUGCACCUGUCACAGAUACAAGAUCAAAGUUGCUCCGAUGCAUCUCAUCGGACCUCCUUCUCUCUCUCGCUCGUAUCUUUAUACCAAAAAAGUUUGAAGAGGUAGGGGGCUAGCUUCAGGAUGUUGAAGAAGGGAAUGAGCAAAUUAGGUCACAGCGGAUGUCAAUGGACUGGUAAACGGGUUGCAGGUCUCAACGUUUUCAUCAGUUGCAAGGCCUUUUUUGGCUCAACCUGGAAACUGCAAGAUCGUGGGUGAGAGAGUGCUGAACCGCCGUGAACUGCUGCUUCUAGAAGGAAUUUAGAGACUUUAAACGGCUGAGAUUAAAAGUUGAUGACUUUCUACGGCUGUAAUUAGCCCAAAUAGCAGUUAUAAACAACGGGAACAAUAUAAUAUAGAAUGGGUUGAUUGGGCUUAAUAUUUAAAUUAUAAAUCUUUUCGUAUGUAAGAAGUUUAGAAAAAAAACAUAAUGGUGUUGGGGGUUUAAAAUUGGUGUCGUUUAACAAUUUUCUAUUAAAUGUUAUAUUGUUAUAUAUGAUACGCGACGUUUAAUGGUGU